This 71-nucleotide transfer RNA is filed under the name Candidozyma auris. Its description in RNAcentral is "[Candida] auris tRNA-His". It matches the Rfam family "tRNA". From Rfam's summary of the family: Transfer RNA (tRNA) molecules are approximately 80 nucleotides in length. Their secondary structure includes four short double-helical elements and three loops (D, anti-codon, and T loops). Further hydrogen bonds mediate the characteristic L-shaped molecular structure. tRNAs have two regions of fundamental functional importance: the anti-codon, which is responsible for specific mRNA codon recognition, and the 3' end, to which the tRNAs corresponding amino acid is attached (by aminoacyl-tRNA synthetases). tRNAs cope with the degeneracy of the genetic code in two manners: having more than one tRNA (with a specific anti-codon) for a particular amino acid; and 'wobble' base-pairing, i.e. permitting non-standard base-pairing at the 3rd anti-codon position. Lineage: Eukaryota; Fungi; Ascomycota; Pichiomycetes; Serinales; Metschnikowiaceae. The record is from RNAcentral.
GCCGGUCUAGUAUAGUGGUUAGUACAGUUCGUUGUGGCCGAACAAACCCAGGUUCGAUUCCUGGGCCGGCA